GGAAUAAAAGUCGUAACAAGGUCUCCGUUGGUGAACCAGCGGAGGGAUCAUUACCGAGUUUACAACUCCCAAACCCAAUGUGAACCAUACCAAACUGUUGCCUCGGCGGGGUCACGCCCCGGGCGCGUCGCAGCCCCGGAACCAGGCGCCCGCCGGAGGACCCAAAACCCUGAAUAUUAGUGUCGUCUGAGUACUAUAUAAUUGUUAAAACUUUCAACAACGGAUCUCUUGGUUCUG
RNAcentral lists this unclassified non-coding RNA (237 nucleotides) under plant metagenome. Its description in RNAcentral is "partial contains small subunit ribosomal RNA, internal transcribed spacer 1, and 5.8S ribosomal RNA". The stretch from base 1 to 53 matches the Rfam family "Eukaryotic small subunit ribosomal RNA", at positions 1779 to 1831 of the family's 1831-position model. The record is from RNAcentral.